UACGGAGGAUGCGAGCGUUAUCCGGAUUUAUUGGGUUUAAAGGGUGCGUAGGCGGAGUGUCAAGUCAGCGGUAAAAUUUCGGGGCUCAACCUCGUCGUGCCGUUGAAACUGACACCCUUGAGUGAGUGAGAAGUAAGCGGAAUGCGUGGUGUAGCGGUGAAAUGCAUAGAUAUCACGAAGAACCCCGAUUGCGAAGGCAGCGUACCGGCGCCACACUGACGCUGAGGCGCGAAAGCGUGGGGAGCAAACAGG
This 252-nucleotide ribosomal RNA is filed under the name uncultured Bacteroidales bacterium. RNAcentral describes it as "partial 16S ribosomal RNA". It matches the Rfam family "Bacterial small subunit ribosomal RNA", at positions 524 to 776 of the family's 1533-position model. The record is from RNAcentral. Lineage: Bacteria; Pseudomonadati; Bacteroidota; Bacteroidia; Bacteroidales.